The sequence is a ribosomal RNA, 810 nucleotides long. It matches the Rfam family "Eukaryotic small subunit ribosomal RNA", at positions 629 to 1465 of the family's 1831-position model.
CGUAGUCGGGUUUCGGGUCGGGCCGAGCGGUCUGCCGAUGGGUAUGCACUGUUUGGCGCGGCCUUCUUUCCGGAGACCGCGGCUACUCUUAACUGAGCGGGCGUGGGAGACGGAUCGUUUACUUUGAAAAAAUCAGAGUGUUUCAAGCAGGCAGCUCGCUCUUGCAUGGUACAGCAUGGGAUGAUUGAAUAGGACUCCGGUGCUAUUUUGUUGGUUUCGAACACCAGGAGUAAUGAUUAACAGGGACAGUCAGGGGCACUCGUAUUCCGUCGAGAGAGGUGAAAUUCUCAGACCAAUGGAAGACGAACCACUGCGAAAGCAUUUGCCAGGGAUGUUUUCACUGAUCAAGAACGAAAGUUAGGGGAUCGAAGACGAUCAGAUACCGUCGUAGUCUUAACCAUAAACCAUGCCGACUAGGGAUUGGAGGGUGUUCGUUUCGACCUCUUCAGCACCUUACGGGAAACUAAAGUCUUUGGGUUCCGGGGGGAGUAUGGUCGCAAGGCUGAAACUUAAAGGAAUUGACGGAAGGGCACCACCAGGAGUGGAGCCUGCGGCUUAAUUUGACUCAACACGGGGAAACUUACCAGGUCCAGACAUUGUUAGGAUUGACAGAUUGAGAGCUCUUUCUUGAUUCGAUGGGUGGUGGUGCAUGGCCGUUCUUAGUUGGUGGAGUGAUUUGUCUGGUUAAUUCCGAUAACGAACGAGACCGUAGCCUGCUAAAUAGUCCCGCGAACUUCUUGUUGGCGGCCGACUUCUUAGAGGGACAACUUGUGACCAACAAGUGGAAGUUUGCGGCAAUAACAGGUCUGU